This 253-nucleotide ribosomal RNA is filed under the name uncultured bacterium. Its description in RNAcentral is "partial 16S ribosomal RNA". It matches the Rfam family "Bacterial small subunit ribosomal RNA", at positions 524 to 776 of the family's 1533-position model. The record is from RNAcentral.
GACAGAGGGUGCAAACGUUGUUCGGAAUUACUGGGCGUAAAGCGCGUGUAGGCUGCUUCGCAAGUCGGAUGUGAAAGCCCUGGGCUCAACCCAGGAAGUGCAUUCGAAACUGCAGAGCUGGAGUCCUGGAGAGGAAGGCGGAAUUCUCGGUGUAGAGGUGAAAUUCGUAGAUAUCGAGAGGAACACCAGUGGCGAAGGCGGCUUUCUGGCCUGCUCUUGACGCUGAGGCGCGAAAGCUAGGGUAGCAAACGGG